This 1469-nucleotide ribosomal RNA is filed under the name Vibrio parahaemolyticus. Its description in RNAcentral is "16S ribosomal RNA". It matches the Rfam family "Bacterial small subunit ribosomal RNA". The record is from RNAcentral. Lineage: Bacteria; Pseudomonadati; Pseudomonadota; Gammaproteobacteria; Vibrionales; Vibrionaceae.
UUGAAGAGUUUGAUCAUGGCUCAGAUUGAACGCUGGCGGCAGGCCUAACACAUGCAAGUCGAGCGGAAACGAGUUAUCUGCACCUUCGGGGAACGAUAGCGGCGUCGAGCGGCGGACGGGUGAGUAAUGCCUAGGAAAUUGCCCUGAUGUGGGGGAUAACCAUUGGAAACGAUGGCUAAUACCGCAUGAUGCCUACGGGCCAAAGAGGGGGACCUUCGGGCCUCUCGCGUCAGGAUAUGCCUAGGUGGGAUUAGCUAGUUGGUGAGGUAAGGGCUCACCAAGGCGACGAUCCCUAGCUGGUCUGAGAGGAUGAUCAGCCACACUGGAACUGAGACACGGUCCAGACUCCUACGGGAGGCAGCAGUGGGGAAUAUUGCACAAUGGGCGCAAGCCUGAUGCAGCCAUGCCGCGUGUGUGAAGAAGGCCUUCGGGUUGUAAAGCACUUUCAGUCGUGAGGAAGGUAGUGUAGUUAAUAGCUGCAUUAUUUGACGUUAGCGACAGAAGAAGCACCGGCUAACUCCGUGCCAGCAGCCGCGGUAAUACGGAGGGUGCGAGCGUUAAUCGGAAUUACUGGGCGUAAAGCGCAUGCAGGUGGUUUGUUAAGUCAGAUGUGAAAGCCCGGGGCUCAACCUCGGAAUUGCAUUUGAAACUGGCAGACUAGAGUACUGUAGAGGGGGGUAGAAUUUCAGGUGUAGCGGUGAAAUGCGUAGAGAUCUGAAGGAAUACCGGUGGCGAAGGCGGCCCCCUGGACAGAUACUGACACUCAGAUGCGAAAGCGUGGGGAGCAAACAGGAUUAGAUACCCUGGUAGUCCACGCCGUAAACGAUGUCUACUUGGAGGUUGUGGCCUUGAGCCGUGGCUUUCGGAGCUAACGCGUUAAGUAGACCGCCUGGGGAGUACGGUCGCAAGAUUAAAACUCAAAUGAAUUGACGGGGGCCCGCACAAGCGGUGGAGCAUGUGGUUUAAUUCGAUGCAACGCGAAGAACCUUACCUACUCUUGACAUCCAGAGACUUUCCAGAGAUGGAUUGGUGCCUUCGGGAACUCUGAGACAGGUGCUGCAUGGCUGUCGUCAGCUCGUGUUGUGAAAUGUUGGGUUAAGUCCCGCAACGAGCGCAACCCUUAUCCUUGUUUGCCAGCGAGUAAUGUCGGGAACUCCAGGGAGACUGCCGGUGAUAAACCGGAGGAAGGUGGGGACGACGUCAAGUCAUCAUGGCCCUUACGAGUAGGGCUACACACGUGCUACAAUGGCGCAUACAGAGGGCAGCCAACUUGCGAAAGUGAGCGAAUCCCAAAAAGUGCGUCGUAGUCCGGAUUGGAGUCUGCAACUCGACUCCAUGAAGUCGGAAUCGCUAGUAAUCGUGGAUCAGAAUGCCACGGUGAAUACGUUCCCGGGCCUUGUACACACCGCCCGUCACACCAUGGGAGUGGGCUGCAAAAGAAGUAGGUAGUUUAACCUUCGGGGGGACGC